Molecule: non-coding RNA, 29 nt
Filed under: Homo sapiens (human)
Lineage: Eukaryota; Metazoa; Chordata; Mammalia; Primates; Hominidae
Source: RNAcentral
UGGGGAUAGUCAGCUUGCGGUGGGAGGAA